GGAAAUAGGGGAUUCAGCUGGGGAAAGGGCCAGAAGACAUCAGCAGAGAGGAGCUGGAGCAGAAAAACCUACAAAUUGCAGGCCAAAGGUCCAUGGCAGUCGUCUUCUUCAAUUUUGAUCUGCACCCUAUCAUUCUGACACAGGGCCCCUCACAGAACCUGGAGUUCACCGGUUGGCUAGACUGCCUGGUCAGUGAGUCCCAGAGGAUCUACUUGUCUCUGUUGCUACUCUGCUAGGCUUACAGAGCACGGGGCGUGGCCAGAGAUGCUCCUUCAGACAAGGUUCAGCACGAGUCAGUAGGAGAAGGUGCUGAUUCUACACUCUUUUAGAGAAAUGGGAUGGACUCGGCGUGGCAUCUCCGUGCUCCUCAUCAGACCCAUGGCCUCCGAGACAUAGAAGAAGAAAACCCUUCCAAUAAGGUUGCUUCUUACACUAUCCUCUUAUUAUACUAUUCUUAAAAUUGCCAGGGCCAUCAAAGCCCAGAAGAAAAUCUUUAAAAAGUCACAUCUAAGAGGAACCUAAGGAGAUAACACAACUAAAUUCCUGAUAGGACCAUGGCUCAGAAAAAUACAUUAGAUAAAA
Molecule: long non-coding RNA, 582 nt
Organism: Meriones unguiculatus (Mongolian gerbil)
Lineage: Eukaryota; Metazoa; Chordata; Mammalia; Rodentia; Muridae
Exons: 3
Source: RefSeq, a predicted model, not a curated record